Molecule: ribosomal RNA, 545 nt
Filed under: uncultured bacterium
Lineage: Bacteria
Description: bacterial SSU rRNA
Rfam family: Bacterial small subunit ribosomal RNA
Source: RNAcentral
AAUAGAUACCCGGGUAGUCCACGCCCUAAACGAUGUCUACUAGUUGUCGGGGGGUAACUCCUUCGGUAACGCAGCUAACCGCGUGAAGUAGACCGCCUGGGGAGUACGGUCGCAAGAUUAAAACUCAAAGGAAUUGACGGGGACCCGCACAAGCGGUGGAUGAUGUGGAUUAAUUCGAUGCAACGCGAAAAACCUUACCUACCCUUGACAUGCCACUAACGAAGCAGAGAUGCAUUAGGUGCCCGAAAGGGAAAGUGGACACAGGUGCUGCAUGGCUGUCGUCAGCUCGUGUCGUGAGAUGUUGGGUUAAGUCCCGCAACGAGCGCAACCCUUGCCAAUAGUUGCUACGAAAGGGCACUCUAUUGGGACUGCCGGUGACAAACCGGAGGAAGGUGGGGAUGACGUCAAGUCCUCAUGGCCCUUAUGGGUAGGGCUUCACACGUCAUACAAUGGCUGGUACAGAGGGUUGCCAACCCGGCGAGGGGGGAGCCCAAGUCCCANAAAACCGNGUCGUAGUCCGGAUUGCAGUCUGCAACUCGACUGCA